Molecule: ribosomal RNA, 1489 nt
Filed under: Lactiplantibacillus plantarum
Lineage: Bacteria; Bacillati; Bacillota; Bacilli; Lactobacillales; Lactobacillaceae
Also listed under: 1 other name
Description: bacterial SSU rRNA
Rfam family: Bacterial small subunit ribosomal RNA
Source: RNAcentral
GACGAACGCUGGCGGCGUGCCUAAUACAUGCAAGUCGAACGAACUCUGGUAUUGAUUGGUGCUUGCAUCAUGAUUUACAUUUGAGUGAGUGGCGAACUGGUGAGUAACACGUGGGAAACCUGCCCAGAAGCGGGGGAUAACACCUGGAAACAGAUGCUAAUACCGCAUAACAACUUGGACCGCAUGGUCCGAGCUUGAAAGAUGGCUUCAGCUAUCACUUUUGGAUGGUCCCGCGGCGUAUUAGCUAGAUGGUGGGGUAACGGCUCACCAUGGCAAUGAUACGUAGCCGACCUGAGAGGGUAAUCGGCCACAUUGGGACUGAGACACGGCCCAAACUCCUACGGGAGGCAGCAGUAGGGAAUCUUCCACAAUGGACGAAAGUCUGAUGGAGCAACGCCGCGUGAGUGAAGAAGGGUUUCGGCUCGUAAAACUCUGUUGUUAAAGAAGAACAUAUCUGAGAGUAACUGUUCAGGUAUUGACGGUAUUUAACCAGAAAGCCACGGCUAACUACGUGCCAGCAGCCGCGGUAAUACGUAGGUGGCAAGCGUUGUCCGGAUUUAUUGGGCGUAAAGCGAGCGCAGGCGGUUUUUUAAGUCUGAUGUGAAAGCCUUCGGCUCAACCGAAGAAGUGCAUCGGAAACUGGGAAACUUGAGUGCAGAAGAGGACAGUGGAACUCCAUGUGUAGCGGUGAAAUGCGUAGAUAUAUGGAAGAACACCAGUGGCGAAGGCGGCUGUCUGGUCUGUAACUGACGCUGAGGCUCGAAAGUAUGGGUAGCAAACAGGAUUAGAUACCCUGGUAGUCCAUACCGUAAACGAUGAAUGCUAAGUGUUGGAGGGUUUCCGCCCUUCAGUGCUGCAGCUAACGCAUUAAGCAUUCCGCCUGGGGAGUACGGCCGCAAGGCUGAAACUCAAAGGAAUUGACGGGGGCCCGCACAAGCGGUGGAGCAUGUGGUUUAAUUCGAAGCUACGCGAAGAACCUUACCAGGUCUUGACAUACUAUGCAAAUCUAAGAGAUUAGACGUUCCCUUCGGGGACAUGGAUACAGGUGGUGCAUGGUUGUCGUCAGCUCGUGUCGUGAGAUGUUGGGUUAAGUCCCGCAACGAGCGCAACCCUUAUUAUCAGUUGCCAGCAUUAAGUUGGGCACUCUGGUGAGACUGCCGGUGACAAACCGGAGGAAGGUGGGGAUGACGUCAAAUCAUCAUGCCCCUUAUGACCUGGGCUACACACGUGCUACAAUGGAUGGUACAACGAGUUGCGAACUCGCGAGAGUAAGCUAAUCUCUUAAAGCCAUUCUCAGUUCGGAUUGUAGGCUGCAACUCGCCUACAUGAAGUCGGAAUCGCUAGUAAUCGCGGAUCAGCAUGCCGCGGUGAAUACGUUCCCGGGCCUUGUACACACCGCCCGUCACACCAUGAGAGUUUGUAACACCCAAAGUCGGUGGGGUAACCUUUUAGGAACCAGCCGCCUAAGGUGGGACAGAUGAUUAGGGUG